UACGGGAGGCAGCAGUGGGGAAUAUUGCACAAUGGGCGAAAGCCUGAUGCAGCUAUACCGCGUGUAUGAAGAAGGCCUUAGGGUUGUAAAGUACUUUCAUCGGGGAGGAAAAAACAAAACUAAUAAUUUUAUUUCUUGACGUUACCCGAAAAAGAAGCACCGGCUAACUCCGUGCCAGCAGCCGCGGUAAUACGGAGGGUGCUAGCGUUAAUCAGAAUUACUGGGCGUAAAGAGCACGUAGGUGGUUUUUUUAAAGUCAGAUGUGAAAUCCCUGGGCUUAACCUAGGAACUGCAUUUUGAAACUGAAAUACUAGAGUAUCGUAGAGGGAGGUAGAAUUCUAGGUGUAGCGGUGAAAUGCGUAGAUAUCUGGAGGAAUACCUGUGGCGAAAGCGGCCUCCUAAACGAAUACUGACACUGAGGGUGCGAAAGCGUGGGGAGCAAACAGGGAUUAGAUACC
This 458-nucleotide ribosomal RNA is filed under the name uncultured bacterium. RNAcentral describes it as "bacterial SSU rRNA". It matches the Rfam family "Bacterial small subunit ribosomal RNA", at positions 340 to 786 of the family's 1533-position model. The record is from RNAcentral.